Molecule: ribosomal RNA, 258 nt
Filed under: uncultured Lactobacillales bacterium
Lineage: Bacteria; Bacillati; Bacillota; Bacilli; Lactobacillales
Description: partial 16S ribosomal RNA
Rfam family: Bacterial small subunit ribosomal RNA
Source: RNAcentral
AGCGGCGAGUGGGUGAGUAACACGUGGGGAAACCUGCCCCUAAGUCUGGGGAUACCAUUUGGAAACAGGUGCUAAUACCGGAUAAUAAAGCAGGAUCGCAUGAUCAGCUUUUGAAAGGCGGCGUAAGCUGUCGCUAAGGGGAUGGGCCCCGCGGGUGCAUUAGCUAGUUGGUAAGGUAACGGCUUACCAAGGCGACGAUGCAUAGCCGAGUUGAGAGACUGAUCGGCCACAUUGGGACUGAGACACGGCCCAAACUCC